AGCAGUGAGACUCCCACAGCAGAGACAACCAAACUGAAGCUUUUUCUCCUGAGAAGUCACUGGAAUGACCGAUAUGAAGACUUGGAUGGUUGAAAGUCACACAUUCUCUUCCCGUUAAUGACUUUGAGCCUCGAGGCCUCAGACAGGAGCCUGCAGACCUUCGGAUUGAUCCCCUCCCGUCUCCUUCAGAUUUUUCCUUUCGUGAAAGAAAGUUCAGUGGGUUUGGAUCUACAUGAAUAACAUUUCAACUGUUGUGCUCAGAAGAGAAGCUGUGCCGUAUGUGAGAGACACCCAGCAGAGAACAGAAGAACAGCUAGAGCACCUCUUAAAAAGUCACACUUUCAUGUUCUCUUUGAGAGACUUUAAAAGGACAUACCUGACAAACAUUUGCUAUUUUAAUGUUGCUGUAGGGUUAGGUAAGUUGUGGGCAAGUUUUCAGAUAAGGGAAAAAAAUGUAUUACGUUAACACUUGCAAGUCUUAAUUACAUUUUACAAUGUUAUGAGGUGUUUUUAAUUAUAUAACAAGUGUCAGCAUUAUUCGGCUGUUUUUUAUUCCUCUUUUUGCUUAAACUAUAUUGUAGUACAGUUUAGAAUAAGUACAUAUGUGAAAUUCUUUGUACUAACUAUAAGAUGUAAUAGCUUCUACUGAAGCACAGUAAAGCAUAAGACAUUCCAAAUACUAAAUCACUUUUCACUGAAUUGUUACGCUGAUCAUAUCAUUUGUAUCAUAAACUGAUGUUUUAGUUAGAAAAAUGCAAGUUUGAAGCAUUCUCACUAGUAGUCUCAGAUUUGACCCCAACUUAUGUGACAGCGGUGUUAAAAAAAGCUCUCAGUGCAUAACCUGGUUUGAGGAUCUUUCAUGCCUUGUGUCUUUGGGAUGACCUGCUGUUUUUGGUCCUAUCAGAGUUCUUACAUCUCUUCGGCGUCUCUCUGGCAGCAGAGGACAGAGGAGAAGAUCAAGACGCCUUUGAUGUGUUGCCCACUGCAGGCGAUACCGGGAUAUGGAAUAUGAUUUCUGAAAAAUGUAACAUCUAGAUUAAAAAGUAACAUCUGGUUGAAAUUCACAACAGGGAGUGGUAUGAUUUAUGAGCUGAAUUAUUUUGAAGUGAAGUAAAUAGAUUGUUCAUUAUAUUAUUUUCUUAAGCAAACUAAGCUUUCUUUGACACUUUGAUACAUUUGCUUGGUUUUGUGUAUCAGGGAUAAAAAAAAAAAUCAAAAAGAAUUUAACAGUUUAGGUUUCCAUUCCUCUUUAAAAUUCUGGUUCCUUAAAGGUUCCAAUAAUUAUUAUUUUUAGGGCUUUAAUAGUGAAAUAUUUGGGAAAAGUCUAACUUCUAGCUGUAUGUUUUUACAGAGUAUAAAGAACCAGCUCAAAAGUGUGAUUUGUUCAAAAGUCAAAUGUUUUUUUAAUUCACUAAAAAGAAUGUCCGGGAGUCGAACUACUGGAUCCUUUGUUUGAUUCACUACAA
Long non-coding RNA from Cyprinus carpio (common carp), 1466 nucleotides. The record is from Ensembl. NCBI's taxonomy places the organism in Eukaryota, Metazoa, Chordata, Actinopteri, Cypriniformes, Cyprinidae.